ACUAACACACCAUAGUAAAGCAAUUAUACUCCAAUAAAGAUGUAAAAAGAAUAAAUAAAUUCCAUUGUUAUUUAUAAAAAAAAAAGAAAAGAAAUCACCCCCUAUAGUUUUUGCAUUUCAGAAACAAGGUCACUGGCCAAUAAACCAGAGGCAAACGGACACAAUUAUCAGACUGCCGGACCCCAAUUACCGGGAUGGCCUGACGCCAGCUAUGACUGUUUUGAAAUAAUGCAAAGGAAAGGAAGAAUGCAAGACCUUCACUACUUUGAUCCUUAUCAUAGACCCCGGACUGCGAGCCUCACAUAUAAAAUCUUCCCUGAUUCCCAAGGAGGGGGGGCACAGCUCUGGAGGCGCUAGCCUGCUGUGUCUUCCCUUCUGCCUGGCAGAAAAAUAAAGCCAUCUCUCUCUUCCUCCAAAAUCCCUGUCUCUGUAUUUCGGUUCGGCCUCGGUGCACAGGGAAGCUGAUGCUUCGGCAACAAAAUGGGGGCUCGUCCGGGGUCUGCUCGCGUACAGGCAGCCCCGCAGGGCCCCUCGGCUUGAUCGGAAGCUCGGGGAUCUCUCUGCACGCCAGGCUCCUUCGGGAGAGCGGAGGGUUGGAGGAUUUCUCUGAGGCCAGAUCGCCAGGGACUCCCUGCUGCAGGGCUGCGCCCCAUCACACCCGGCCUGUCGGCUGCGGCGGAGAACGGGGGAGAGGCUGACCUAGCAGCUGCCGAGGCUCAUUUUGCCUUGAGGACACCUUCUCUUCUCUUGGCCGCGCCGGCCUGGACUUCCACUCCGAGAAAACACUGAAUAUUGGAGGAUCAGAAAGAGGACGUAGGGAAGUCGCGACGCACCCGUCAGCACCUAUGAUUGGAAACUCUUAGGUCCCCAGCACCUUUAUCAGAUAAAUUAGGAAGGCUACCUCACUAACAGGUACAGAAAUCUCAAGGUAUUUUCGGGACCUUGAAAAGGGAGGAAUUCACCUAUAUCUGGUAAGCGAAAUCUGUGACAAGCCUUUGGUGGGACUUUCCUGAGAGGUCUUUUAAAAGUUCAGUCUGAGACUCCUUAUAAAAGUUUCAGGAAGCAAAAAGCCUAUAUGAUACAAUACAGUUGUAUAAAUCAUCAGGCCAAGUUUAUUGACACCAGACUGAAAUUUGGUUCUCUCUCUCUGUUAGAGAACAAAGUUUUCUUGGGAUGCUGCUUUAAUAACAGACUAUGUAAAUUUCUUUGCCUUUAAGUGACUUACAUUUGCUUUUAAAAUCUUUUGUUACUUAGGUAAAGUAAAUAAGUACUAUCUCUCGAUGAUCUAUGAAGAUCGCGGCCCGCAUAGAUAAAGUUCAUUCUGCUUCUACAAAAAUUAACCUCUCAUUGUCAGACUUUUGCCAUCCUGACUGUCCUUAAACAUGACAACAGUCCACUCCUAAAUCAGGGAAUUUAAAAUGGGUAAACAAUAGCUGUCAAUCAAACAGUCAGGGCUAUGCAAAAUCCAAAAGGGCUGCCUGGCUUUUUCCGGCUCCCUGAUAAACCUCAUUUUUUAUUUGAUGGGAUAAAGCCUUCCCUGGUUGCGGGGUUAAUGCCCUCACAAUGAAGAAAAUCAAUUAUGUUUUACUGAAUAUUAAAUUCUAGGUUUGUUCAUUAAGGUCUGUGUUUACCAAGACUCACUUCCCAGAUAGUUCCUUGCAGUUAUGUUCUAUUGCUAAAAAGUUUAAUUGAAUUAUUGAAGGGCACUCUAAGUUUGUUUCUAAAGCUUAUCUCCGUCAUUUUUCUUUGGAUGAAGAUCAGAUGGCCCACGACCUACAACCAGGGGAUUAUACAUACUGGAAAAGACAUGAUUUAAAGGACUAUCUCCAGACUGGAUGGAAGGACCCUUAUCAGGUACUCUUAACUAGCUCGUACACAGUAAAACUAAAGGGAAUUAACUCUUGGAUUAACUUCCACUCACAAAGGGCCCCUGCACUGGACUGGCCUAUAGAGAGGAUGGCUGACCUCAAAAUCACCUUAAAACAACGCUCAAACAGAGGCGAAACUGCACUCACACGAGGAUGAGAAAAAGACAACAUCAGAAGUAGACGGCUUCCCCAAGAUCCUGGACCUGACUCAUACGCUCAUUUAUAAUGUUUUCUUGACUUCUUGGACCUUUGCAUAUGAAUCAAAUGUUUUUCUAUCAUAG
Orcinus orca (killer whale) is the source of this 2149-nucleotide long non-coding RNA. RefSeq lists it as uncharacterized. The transcript has 2 exons. The record is from RefSeq and is a predicted model, not a curated record. Lineage: Eukaryota; Metazoa; Chordata; Mammalia; Artiodactyla; Delphinidae.